This 468-nucleotide ribosomal RNA is filed under the name uncultured bacterium. Its description in RNAcentral is "partial 16S ribosomal RNA". It matches the Rfam family "Bacterial small subunit ribosomal RNA", at positions 28 to 507 of the family's 1533-position model. The record is from RNAcentral.
GACGAACGCUGGCGGCGUGCUUAACACAUGCAAGUCGAACGGAAAGGCCCGGCUUUUGUGGCGUGCUCGAGUGGCGAACGGGUGUGUAACACGUGAGUAACCUCCCCCUGUCUUUGGGGUAACUUCAGGAAACUGCGGCUCAUACCCGAUAGGAGCUCCUGCUGCAUGGUGGGGGUUGGUAAGUUUCGGCGGUUGUGGCUGGUCUCGAGGCUUAUCCGCUUGUUUGUGGGGUAGUGGAGUACAAAGGGUUUGACGGGUAGCCGGCGUUGGAGAGUGGCCGGGCACAUUGGGACUGAGGGACGGCCCAGACUCCUACGUUAGGCAGCAGUGGGGAAUAUGGCACAAUGGGCCGAAGCCUGAUGCAGAAACGUUGCGUGCGGGAUGACGGCCUUCGGGUUGUAAACCGCUGUCGCCUGUGACGAAGCGUGAGUGACGGUAAUGGGUAAAGAAGCACCGGCUAACUACGUG